GAUACCCUAUUAUUUUAAAUGUAAAAAUUUAAGCUGGAAUUAUUAUUAGUUAUGUUCUUUAAAGUUAAAUAAUUUGGCGGUAUUUUAGUCUUUUCAGAGGAACCUGUUUUUUAAUUGAUAUUCCACGAUUAAUUGUACUUUAUCUUUAAAUUUAUAUAUCGUCGUUAAAUAAAUAUUUUACAAGGAUUAAAAUGUUUAGGAUUUUUAAUUAUAAACCAAUUCAGAUCAAGGUGUAGUUUAUGGUAAAGUAAAAAUGGGUUACAUUGAAUUUAUUUUUGGUUUAUUUAGUUGAAAACUGGUAAUAAAUUGGAUUGAAAGUAAUUAUUAUA
RNAcentral lists this ribosomal RNA (329 nucleotides) under Akis spinosa. RNAcentral describes it as "partial 12S ribosomal RNA". Lineage: Eukaryota; Metazoa; Arthropoda; Insecta; Coleoptera; Tenebrionidae. The record is from RNAcentral.